RNAcentral lists this ribosomal RNA (668 nucleotides) under uncultured bacterium. Its description in RNAcentral is "bacterial SSU rRNA". It matches the Rfam family "Bacterial small subunit ribosomal RNA", at positions 144 to 810 of the family's 1533-position model. The record is from RNAcentral.
CAGCCUUCUGAAAGGAAGAUUAAUACAAGAUGGCAUCAUGAGUCCGCAUGUUCACAUGAUUAAAGGUAUUCCGGUAGACGAUGGGGAUGCGUUCCAUUAGAUAGUAGGCGGGGUAACGGCCCACCUAGUCUUCGAUGGAUAGGGGUUCUGAGAGGAAGGUCCCCCACAUUGGAACUGAGACACGGUCCAAACUCCUACGGGAGGCAGCAGUGAGGAAUAUUGGUCAAUGGGCGAGAGCCUGAACCAGCCAAGUAGCGUGAAGGAUGACUGCCCUAUGGGUUGUAAACUUCUUUUAUAAAGGAAUAAAGUCGGGUAUGGAUACCCGUUUACAUGUACUUUAUGAAUAAGGAUCGGCUAACUCCGUGCCAGCAGCCGCGGUAAUACGGAGGAUCCGAGCGUUAUCCGGAUUUAUUGGGUUUAAAGGGAGCGUAGAUGGAUGUUUAAGUCAGUUGUGAAAGUUUGCGGCUCAACCGUAAAAUUGCAGUUGAUACUGGAUAUCUUGAGUGCAGUUGAGGCAGGCGGAAUUCGUGGUGUAGCGGUGAAAUGCUUAGAUAUCACGAAGAACUCCGAUUGCGAAGGCAGCCUGCUAAGCUGCAACUGACAUUGAGGCUCGAAAGUGUGGGUAUCAAACAGGAUUAGAUACCCUGGUAGUCCACGCAGUAAACGAU